CAGUCGCCGCGGUAAUACGAGGGGGGCAAGCGUUGUUCGGAAUUAUUGGGCGUAAUGGGUGCGUAGGCGGUUUCGUAAGUCUUAUGUGAAAUCUAUGGGCUCAACCCAUAGUCUGCAUGGGAAACUGCGAGGCUUGAGGAUGGGAGAGGUGAGUGGAAUUUCCGGUGUAGCGGUGAAAUGCGUAGAUAUCGGAAGGAACACCUGUGGCGAAAGCGGCUCACUGGACCAUCUCUGACGCUGAUGCACGAAAGCUAGGGGAGCAAACAGGAUUAGAUACCCCAGUAGUCCCUGUCUCUUAUAC
Molecule: ribosomal RNA, 301 nt
Filed under: uncultured bacterium
Lineage: Bacteria
Description: partial 16S ribosomal RNA
Rfam family: Bacterial small subunit ribosomal RNA
Source: RNAcentral